This 253-nucleotide ribosomal RNA is filed under the name uncultured bacterium. Its description in RNAcentral is "partial 16S ribosomal RNA". It matches the Rfam family "Bacterial small subunit ribosomal RNA", at positions 524 to 776 of the family's 1533-position model. The record is from RNAcentral.
UACGUAGGGGGCAAGCGUUGUCCGGAAUCAUUGGGCGUAAAGAGCGUGUAGGCGGCUCGGUAAGUCCGUUCUGAAAGUCCAGGGCUCAACCCUGGGAUGCGGAUGGAUACUGUCGGGCUCGAGUCCGGAAGAGGCGAGUGGAAUUCCCGGCGUAGCGGUGAAAUGCGCAGAUAUCGGGAGGAACACCAAUGGCGAAGGCAGCUCGCUGGGACGUGACUGACGCUGAGACGCGAAAGCGUGGGGAGCAAACAGG